Molecule: signal recognition particle RNA, 147 nt
Filed under: Pongo abelii (Sumatran orangutan)
Lineage: Eukaryota; Metazoa; Chordata; Mammalia; Primates; Hominidae
Description: Metazoan signal recognition particle RNA (ENSPPYG00000039211.1)
Rfam family: Metazoan signal recognition particle RNA
About the family: The signal recognition particle (SRP) is a universally conserved ribonucleoprotein. It is involved in the co-translational targeting of proteins to membranes. The eukaryotic SRP consists of a 300-nucleotide 7S RNA and six proteins: SRPs 72, 68, 54, 19, 14, and 9.
Source: Rfam by way of RNAcentral
GCUGGGCAUGGUGGUGCGUGCCUGUAAUCCCAGCUACUUGGAGGCUGAGGCAGGAGAAUCGCUUGAACCUGGGAGGCAGAGGUUGCAGUGAGCCCAGAUCUCGCCACUGCAAUCCAGCCUGGGUGACAGAACGAGACUCUGUCUCAA